UACGGAGGGUGCAAGCGUUAUCCGGAAUCAUUGGGUUUAAAGGGUCCGCAGGCGGAUUUCUAAGUCAGUGGUGAAAUCCCAUCGCUCAACGAUGGAACUGCCAUUGAUACUGUAAGUCUUGAAUUCGGUCGAAGUGGGCGGAAUGUGACAUGUAGCGGUGAAAUGCUUAGAUAUGUCACAGAACACCGAUAGCGAAGGCAGCUCACUAGGCCUGGAUUGACGCUCAGGGACGAAAGCGUGGGGAGCAAACAGG
RNAcentral lists this ribosomal RNA (253 nucleotides) under uncultured bacterium. RNAcentral's name for it is "partial 16S ribosomal RNA". It matches the Rfam family "Bacterial small subunit ribosomal RNA", at positions 524 to 776 of the family's 1533-position model. The record is from RNAcentral.